Onychostruthus taczanowskii (white-rumped snowfinch) is the source of this 2659-nucleotide long non-coding RNA. RefSeq lists it as uncharacterized. The transcript is spliced from 3 exons. The record is from RefSeq and is a predicted model, not a curated record. NCBI's taxonomy places the organism in Eukaryota, Metazoa, Chordata, Aves, Passeriformes, Passeridae.
CGCCCGGCUGGAGCCGCCGCGGGCGGGCAGAGGAGCGGGAGCGGGCAGCCAGCGGACGAGCGUUAUUCAUGUGACACGCACCGCUCGACCACGGGAACAGGCCUCAUGAAGCAAAUCUCCCUGGUUCUCUGACAGUGGAUGAUGUCUAUAAAUCUUUGCAAGUCCAUGCUGUUUGCUGAGCAAACAAUGAGGACGGGGUAUCCUCUAGGAUUAUUUGUGCACUGGUAACAGAAAUCACACUGAUAUGAGGCUAACUCAGUACUCAUUCUUUCCUGUUCCUCCAACAGCUCCCCAGACUAUUCUCAGUCUCUUUUUUUACUCCUUUCUCAAAAGGAUUUUAUUUUUGCACUGUCAGUAAAAAUGGCCAUCACACAGUGGUGCCAUUUCGUGGCAGCUGCUUUAAACAUGCUUGCCAUCAGCAGAUCUGAGCUGAAGUUCAUCAAGGAGAGGAACUGCAUUUCCAGUCAUCUCUGUGUGCUCUUCCCAGAACAAACCAGUCUGAAUUUACUGUUCCCACCCAGAAGAGAGGGUCUGGCAGGAGAGGUCCAGUGAGGCCUCAGCAGUGCUUUCAUGUCCCAUCCCCACCACAGGGAAUGCAAAUGUCACCUGUAUGCAGGAGAGCUGGACCUUCCUGCCCAGGUGGCCCUUCAUACAAUGACAGGAUCCUGAAUUCUCAACGCUGCCACUGUACAGCACCAGCAGCAUCUCCAGCCACUUGUGUCCUGCUGGGCAAGUCCAUCACACAGCAUUGCUGCCGGUGAGGCCUAAUCCAGCACAGUAUCACCAUUAGAAAAGGGGAAACACUCCAGGAACAAAGAUGAGGGACAAAUUGAGGAUGAUAUAGUCUGCUUGCUUUAUUCCACUCUCCACUUUCUGGUCCUGAUAUGGCUCUUCUGCUGGCUUCCCCCUGAAUCUGAUCCCUCACACAGUACAGACCAAGGGCAGACCAAGUUUCAGAGGUAUGCAGAAGCAGUAUGAUUUAGGACACAGAUCUAAAAAGAAACUGGAGCAGUUUGGUGCAGAUCUGGCAAUAGUUAGAAGGACUGCAGCAACCCUGUAUUAUUACAGAUCCAUGCACAAAUUUAGCACUUCAGACAGAAACCACUAUCAAGACGAACAGUGGGAACUUGCUUUGUGCGCACAUCUGGAAACAAAGGGUUUAGAUAUAGCACUCGCAGAUUUUUGCUGCCUGUGACCUCCCUCACCAGCACAACAAAUUGUACUUUGUCAAGGAAGAAGUUGGAUUUGUACAUCUGUGUGGCGUGAACACAGUCUCUCUGUCUGCUGGCUUCUCUGCACUGUUGUAUGCAAACAGAAAACAGACCCUUGUAAAAGCCAGCAACAACUUCAGUAGUAAUCACAAGGCAUCACCAGAAGUUUGUACCUACUUAGAGCACAGUGGCCAUGCAGAUCACCUGGAAAGUCCUGUGGCUCUGGAGGUGUACAGCCAGGUGCCUCACCAGCCUCUCUGGGACUUGAAGCAGUUCAUCCCAGCUAGCACUGCACCUUCGUGUCUGCACCGACCAGCACAGACCCUGCCUGAGGCUGGCUGCUCUAUGGCCACCUUGUCACUGGCUUCUUCUUCCCACUCUGAUCCCACGCAAAAUUUAUGUUCUUAGACCCAGACUACAUAUAUUCUGUAUUUUUGCCUUUACUCUAGAGCUGAAUAAUCCAGUGUAGACCAGCUUCAAAAAGCUCUCAUGUGCCCUUAUAACCUGUCAUAUUAAAUACCCUGAGCUGUUAAUGGUGGUUCACAGCAGGGGAUGAAGGACUAUCUUGAUUCAAGCUAUAUGUGCAAAAAAUGUAAGUGCACCACCAAGGCUGCUGGGUAAUUUGCUUCUCCAGCUGGGAGAGAAGGUGGGCAAGGAGAACGGCUCUGGCCAACAUCACUGGUAACCACAGGCACCAGCUGCAUGCUCAGCCUGGCUCUCUGGGAUCUCUGAGAAGUUCUUACUCCGGGGUCUUCCCUUCCCACAGCCCUCUGACAGAUGUGACAGCUGAUAGUUCUUGACUCUUUGUAUAUUUUGGUAUGAAGCUUCAGAAAUUUGGCCAUCCCACUCUGAUGAGUCAGCCCACAUGCAUCUUGAUAACUGGGGAUGUUCAUCGACUCCUGAAGAGACUCCUAAUCUAAUUAGGUUCUCACUAGUCAUAAAUUUGGAAUUGUAACAGAAAAUUUAAAAAACUGAGUGUUUCCAACUGGGUUUCAUAUCCCUGGAAGAUAACUGCAUAAAUGUUUGCAUAAAUGGUCAUCUAAUUAGAUAUGUAUUUACCUGAACCCUUUCCAUUGUGGGAAAAAGAACUUAUAAAAUUGGUCUUGAGUGAUAGCUUGCUUUAGUUUUAAAGCAGUCACCAAAUGAAAAUCCUUUUAAAACCAAUUCAAUCCUAGUUUUCAUUCAACAAAAAAGGGGCAAGCACUUUGAAUACCGAGGGCCAAAUUAAAAAUGAACCUUCUAAUAAAAAGAAGAGAAAAAUAAAAGCCUUUGUCUACGCUCACAAAUAAAAGCAUAAAUGCCCUUGGUUUAACCUUUCAUCUACCCUCUUACUCACAAUAUGUUUACAUUGUCCCCCAAAUACUUGAAGAGGAAACCUUUCCCCCAGGAUCAUGACCUCCUCUCUGUUGUCUGUGGUCCUGCACCCAGAUUCACAUUUCAGGACAGAA